AUUUCAUCUCUUGAAAAUUGUAUCAUUCUUACAGAAUGAGUUUGAAGAUGUUUCCAAUUGCUGAAACAAGUAGGAAGAAAGAAUAUGACUGAGUUGGUCUUACAUGAAAGAAAGAAGAAUUUCUAAAGGUUUUUUUUGUUUUUUUAGGCCCUAUAGAAUUAAUCUGUUACAUUUACCAUCCUGGAACUUCCUCCCAGAGCCCCAGGGAAACUUUUGUCUGCACAUAAGUCUAGAUAUUAAAUAAAACAUGCGCCCAGGUAUUCUCUUAAUCCUUUUAGACCGAGAAUCUCAAUUUCUUCUAUAGCUUUCCAAGAAUCCAAGGUUUUUUGUUUUCUUUUCUAAACAUCCUACUUUUUAUUGUAUUUAAUAAUUCUUUGUCUUCUUCAAACAGAAUUUUCAAACAAACUUAAAAUGAAUCAGAGAAUCAGGGCUGGUUCUGGAGAAUUGUGGGGUUGAUAAAACUUGUCUUGGUCUUUCCUACCGCCUACUAAGUUACCUUCUGCUUCUGUUUGCAGAACAUUUGCUGUUGGUUACUGUAAACCUCUGAGUAUGGAAAUAAUGCAGUUCGUGCCAAAAAUGAAAGUGUCAAAGGAGCGACUUAUGGUCUGGAAGCCAUUCAAAAAUAUCGAAGAGAUAGAUUCUUCAAUGGUGUGAAAGAGGUAUAACCUCACAAGAUGUUUCUCAGGAUCUGGGGUCAGGCGAGGGAUUGAUGUGUCCCUAGAAAAAAAUGUCCAUACCAAGCAUGGCAGACCAAUGGCAAUGACCAGUCUCUCUGCCUGGCAGUUGCUUCAUUCAUGGCAGAUGGAAGGUGAGAGACUAGAAGGAGGUAAUUUCUCCUUGGUCAUUCUCACUUCUGGGAAGGGCUUCACAUCAAAACAUUCUCUCAGCAGGUUUCACGGUGGAUCACCCUGGUUUAUGUUCUUCUUCUUACUUUUGACUGUUGGGCAUAUGGAGGAGUACCUUAAAGACCUUCAGUACAGAACCCCACCUAGCCGACAAAACUCAUGGAAUAGAUGUACUCCUGAAACUGUUAUAGCAGUUUAAUAACUCAGUUGACAGAAAACCCACAGGACAGACAAAAGGAAGUUUUGCAACUGACCAGUUUAGUUGCCUUAUAUCAUGCUUACUCUUUGUAGCAUAGACUUAAAUUGUAUGGCAAGAAUGUAGUUGGAAUGAGUAGAAUUCGUGGAUUUUAGCAUUGCAGGAUUCUUUAUUUUUUUGUUUGUUUGUUUGUUUCUUUUGUUUUGUUUGUUUUUUGAGAUGGAAUCUCGCUCUGUCACCCAGGCUGGAGUGCAGUGGCACGAUCUUGGCUCACUGCAACCUCCACCUCCCAGGUUCAAGCAAUUCUCCUGCCUCAGCCUCCCGAAUAGCUGGGAUUACAGGUGUGCACCACCAUGCCCAGCUAAUUUUUGUAUUUUUAAUAGAUAUAGGGUUUCACCAUGCUGGCCAGGCUGGUCUUGAACUCCUGACCUCGUGAUCCACCCACCUUGGCCUCCCAAAGUGCUGGGAUUACAGGCAUGAGCCACCACACCCGGCCAGCAUUGCAUGAUUCUAUGGAGCUGGAAGGUUGAGGAAAUCCUACAGUGGAGGAUUCAUGGCUGCAUAAGUCAGAGGGAAUUCAACUGGCUAUACUUCCUUGUAAUAAACAUAUGAAAAUGCCUGCUUUUGGCUGCUGUAUACAUCAGCUGUGGGCAGUGAUUAACUCCUGGCCUCCUCUACUUCCACUCAUGCCGUAAGAGGAGGGGAGAAAGAAUCUUUACCAGCUAUAAAGUAAGACAUAUAAAACAAGGCUAACAAAGCACUGUGUGUCAAGUUGCAGCAGGAGUGAUGGCAAAUACAUGGGAAUGAGUCAAUGUCGGAUUAAAACAAAGAAUGUAAUUCAUGGAAACCUCUCCAAUGUGCAUGUUGGGAUGUGCUAAACCGUUGACUUGAGUGGAUUUGUAGCAGCAUGUGAAGGUGAUUUACAUAAAUGUGAGCUCAUGCCCAGAACACAGAUGUGACUUGCAAGUUUACAACCCUGGGAUCAUGGAAGCUGCACACAAAAGCAAACACAAUUGAUAGUAAACAAAACAUUACUCCUUUUGACUCUUGUUAAAUAUUUAGUGAACUCCAAUACUAUGCUGCUGGGAUGAGACUUGAAUUAGUUGGCCCCACUAGUUGAAUUUCUCUUAAGGGCAAAGCCUGUGCCCCCACCCUUACCUGAGAGUGAAAAGAUUAUGUUGUUGCAAAUGAGGCUUGUAACUUGGAUUCAACUCAAAUGGAAGAGUUCAGGAAUGUAGACAAAAAUAGCAAGUUGAAUCAAUCUGCCUUCUAGAAGCCUAUUUGGUGUGUCCACCUAUAAAUGACCUGCCCACACCUCAAAAAUCAAAGUAUAAUUGUUCCUCUUCAGUUCACUCUUCUCUCCUGACUCUGUUUCUUAAUUCAACCGUGCUGUGAUUUUUCCAGCCACCUUCUCUCUUCCCAUGAUUUAAACAGUUGCUGAGUCAUAAACAUUUCUCUUCUGCCAUGUCUCUGGAAUUGAUCAUUGCCUUUCCUUUCUAAAGUCUUUCUUACCCCUCAUCUGAAAUAUUGCCAUAGGCUCCUAAUUGAUCAUCCCAUUUCCUGGGAUUUUAUUCCUUUAAUCAGUUCUAUGUUUUGUGUGGGGGUUUUUUGUUGUUGUUGUUGUUUAUUUUAUUUUAUUUUAUUUUAUUUUAUUUAUUUUUUGAGAUAGGGUCUCCGUCUGUCGCUUAGGUUGGAGUCCAGUGGUGCAAUCCUAGCUCACUGCAGCCUUGACUCCUGGGCUCAGGUGAUCCCUUUGCUUCAAUCCCCUAAGUAGCUGGGACCACAGUUGUGCACCACUAUUCCUGGCUAAUUUUUGUAAUUUUUUGUAGAGAUGGAGUUUUCCUGUGUUGCCCACGCCAGUCUGAAACACCUGGGCUCAAGUGAUCCACCCACUUCAGCCUCCCAAAGUGCUAGAAUUACAGGUGUGAGCCACUGUGCCCAGCCAUCUCUAUGUAUUUGACACUUAAGUUUCCCACAAGGCACUAUGGUUAUUAGAAAAAAAAAAAAAAAAAAACUUCAGUCGUUGCUCAGAACCUUCUAUUUCUGGUAACUUUUCCUUGGCCUACCAUUUAAAAUCUGCAAGCUACUUUUCCAGUUGCAUUCCCCAUUAACGUCUAAAUUUAGCUUCCCUGGAACAGGGUUUCUCAAGGAGGCACUAUUUCCAUAUUGGACUAGACAAUUUUUUGUUGUUGGGGUCUGUUCUGUGCAUUGCAGAAAGUUUAGCAGUAUCUCUGGUCUCUAGCCACUAGAUGCCAAGAGCACCAACUGCCCAGUUGUGACAAACAAAAUUAUCUUCAAACAUUGUGAAAUGUUCCCAGGGGGCAAAAUUCCUGCCCUAGACAAAAUGGGUUUCUUGUGGUUAUCAAGAUAUGCUUUAGGUUUCUUAUGUCUACAUGUGUGUUUGUAGUGGGCCAUUUGCUUGGAAGGUCUUCCCUACCACAUCUACCUAUUAAAGUCAUAUCCAUCAUUUGUGGUUUAACACAAGGCUCCUUAUUACCAAAGUCCUCUCAUUGUUUUAACCACUGUCCCUUAAUACAAGUGGUUUCCUUUGGAAUGACAUAACAUUUUACAUAUUUCUUUUUAUUUAUUUACUUCUGUAUUUACUUUGGGGUUUUCUGGUUUUUUGUUUUUCAUCUUUUAUUUUAGAAUUGGGGUACAUGUGCAGGUUUGUUACAAAGGUAUAUUUCAUGAUGCUGGGGUUUGGUAUACGAAUGGAUCUGUCACUUAUGUAGUGAGCAUAAUACCCAAUAGGUAGUUUUUCAACCUUUGCCCUCCUCCCUUCCUCCCCUCUUGUAUUCCCCUGUGUCUGUUGUUCCCAUCUUUAUGCCCAACACUUUACAUGGUUCUUAAAACAUUUAUCUUAAUUUUUACAUUUUUCUUUUAAUUUGGCUGCUAAAAAAUUAAACACAGAAGCAAAGUUCUGGCCUUUAUUUAAAUGUAUAAAUAUUUAUAGCCUGACUUACGUAAGCUACUCUAUAUUUUGCUUGAACUUUACUUUCUCUCUUUUUUUUUUUUUUUUUUUUUGCCCCUAACAAGCCUAUUGGAUCUUCUUGUAUGAAAUUUUUAUGGGUAUAUAAGUACUAAAGUAAUAGUCCUUAUGUAAUUAGCUCAAAGUUAUCUCACUGAUAAAUGCAAUUAUAUGAUGCUCUCUUUUAUCAAAUGUGAUAGAAAAUAAACCACAGCCUCUUUAGAGAAAGAAAAGAACAUACACAAAAACUAGAGCUGGCUGGAUCUUAGGAGCCAUCUGGUCCUUCAUCGUCCCCUUUACUUGAGGUAACGGGAAUAGGAAUAUUGGAAGGACAAAUGGCUUUCCCCAGGUGGUAGAUCCAGUCUCUUACCCACGGGGCCUGCUCAGAAUUUGUUGCAUUAGACUAGUUGUUCCUCAUGUGGGGUCUUCAGACCAGCAUCAUAUGCACAGCUUAGAAACUUAUUCGAAAUACAAAUCCUCAGGCCCAUCCCCAAUGUACUGAGUAAUGCCAGCGCUUUGGGAGGCCGAGGCAGGUGGAUCACGAGGUCAGGAGAUCGAGACUACCCUGGCUAACACGGUGAAACCCCAUCUCUACUAAAAAUACAAAAAAUUAGCUGGGCGUGGUGGUGGGCACCUGUAGUCCCAGCUACUCAGGAGGCUGAGGCAGGAGAAUGGCGUGAACCCGGGAGGUAGAGCUUGCAGUGAGCCAACAUUGCGCCACUGCACUCCAGCCUGGGUGACAGAGCGAGACUCUGUCUCAAAAAACAAAACAAAACAAAAACAAAAAACAAAAAACCUCUGGGGAUAGGGCCCAUCUAUCUGGGUUUGGUAUAGUGUGGGGGUCCUCAAAUCUGAGCUUAUCAGGAAAAUUUGGAGGAUCUGUUCAUAUAGACUGGUUAUUUACCACGUGCCAUAUUUAGUGAAAGUUAAAUUGUUGUGGAUUCUCAAGACCAGAUUGUGAAAGGCAGCUGCACUCAAUAUCAAAUUAACAACCUGACCUAUUUCUUGAAAUGUAAAACUUAAUCCAGAGAUCCUCUGUUUAAACAAUAAAAAUGUUUACUCUAAUAUGGUAGUUUCUGUUCCAUCUUAAGAUAGCAUAAUAAGUUUGCAUCAAGUUUAAAAUAAAGAUCUAAAAUUUAUUUGAUGUUGAUUUUUCUCAUGUACUACAGGGAGCAGAAAUUCUAAGAUUAGGAAUGUGAAGUCAGGAGAGAGAGUUGAAAGCAUGUUAAGCUUUCGUCUUAGUGAAGAAAAUAGAUAUAAAUGCUAACAAGUCAUAGGCAUCUUCAGAAUGAUUUGUUUUAAUACAAUGUAAAUAUAAGACAGCCACUAAAAUAAAAAAAAGUGUAUUUAUAAGCCAGUAAAAGAAAAAAUAAAGGCAAAUAUGUCAAUACAGUAAUGACUAGGAAAGAAAGAAAGAAGAAAGGAAAAUACAAAACAUGUCAGUGUUUAUAAUAAUUAUAAAUGUUCUUCUCAAAUUUCAUGUUUCUCUUUGUAGAAAAUAUUAAAAUAUAAAAAUGGCAUAGAAACGUAGAAAAAUGAAGGAAGACAAAAAAAGUUAUACUGGACCAAUACCAAGAAAACUGAAAUAGCAUUACCAUAUUAACAUCUGACAAAAAAUAAUCUGAGAUAAAAAGUAAAAAGAGGGUUAUUUUAUUUGGUAAAGUUACAAUACUCUAAUAAGAUUUAACAAUCAUGAACAUGGAUGUACCUAAUAAAAUAUCAAUAAAAUAUACAGGAAGCAAGUGCCAUACAAGUAAAAAUAGAAUAUUAAACCAUCAUGGUAGAGACUUAAACAUACUUACCUCAAUACUCAAGAGAUUAAACAGAUAAAAAGUAUUUAAACUUUUGAAUAUUUGAAUUAUACAGUUAACAGCCAUAUAGAUAUUUAAAAUGUGUACCUAACAAAAGGAAAUGUACUUUAAUUUCAAAUAGCCAUGACAUAUUUAUUAAAGUUGGCCAUUAGAUUUUAAAUACAAUAAUAUAUUUCAUAUUUUCUGACACAGUUCAAUAAAACUAGAUAAUAAAAAUAAAAGGAAAGAGAUAGCCUCCUUUCACAAAAAUAAAACAAAACAAUAAAUAAAUAUCCAACUGGAUGUAUUAAAAUGUUCUUUAAAAUAAUCUUUGGGCUAUUAAACUACUUAGAAAUUUUUGAAAACCAUGAGAAUGCAACGUGCCAACACCUAUGAUUUUAGUUCAAAAUGGUACUCAGAUAAUAUUUUAGAGACUUUAGUGCAUUUAUUAUUGAACAAAAAAGAGUAUAGGAAAUAUCAACUAUGUGUUUAACUCAACAAUCAUGGAUAAGAAACAAAAAGUUAUAUAUUUUCAUUGUAGAAAAUAUUAAAAUUAUAAAUAAGUUAUUGGAGAAGAAAUAAGAAUCACCUACAAUUAUUUUUUUCUUCCCCUGUAAUUAUGACACAUAUAAUGGACAUUAUUUUUUUCCUCCCCAGUAAUUAUAACACAUAUAAUGGACAAUAAAUAAAUCAGGACAAAUGCCCCAAAUUGUGUGAUGUCUCUACAGUUUCAGGGCUGAAUUUCUCCUUUGAUCUUACCAAAGUCACAAGAGAGACUCAAGAAUGAGGACUGUGACAAUCGCUAUGGUGUGCCUUUAGUUUCAUGCAUGUACACAUAGAAGUUGUGUGUGUGUGUGUGUGUGUGUGUGUGUCUGUGUCUGCAUGUGUUAUGGUGAAGUGAUGGAAAAAUUGAACCUCCUCAAACCUCUUUUCAGGAAUACUGCUUUCUUUUUAACAGAUUUUUGCAAAGGAAAAUAAAUGAUUCAUUUUAGCAGAUUUGCCAGAAAGAUUUCAGUGACAUGAAUAUUUGGUAAAGAUUUGGCCUGCAGAAUGAAGUGAUGAAAACAGCAAGGGAAAAAAUAUACCUAAAGAAGUAGUAGGAAAAGAAUCCCCUGAAGUCCAUUGAGGAAAAAACCACCUUGGACACAAUGUAAGAAAAAAGGUUUUCUUAUAUAAGGAAUCCUGAUAGAAACACUACUAAACCUCUGUCAAACAGCAGGACACUCUGGUUUGGCUAGAAGUUCUGGGAAAGGCCACCUCCUUCCUAUUGGAAGGCAGUAGUUUUGUUUUUGGUAAAUAAAGUCAUUUGGUUCAGCAGAGAGCAUCUAAAACACUGAAGGCAUUUCUUGUCUGGACAUUGAUUCUACUAGGAUGUAGGCCAGAAGACUACACUCUUCAGAAGAAUGAGAAUAAGAAGUAACUAGCAUGUCCAAACAAGCUGUGAAAUCUUAUCCCUCCUGCUCCCUGAAUAGAGUCCAAUGCCCCAAGAUAAAGGAAAUCCACUCUGUAAUCCGAUAGGCUUGUUACUGAGCAUUUUGCCAAGAACAACACCUUCCCUUCACGUAGUGCCAGGGUCCAGGUGCAUAAACUCCAGCCUUAUAAACUCAAGUACCAAAAAAAAAAAAAAAAAAAAAAAAAAGAGUGAAACCUCUUGACAUUUGAUAAAAUGUGACUAUGGAUUUUCUCAGCAAGGAUGGAGAAGAGUGUGCUUACAUGUACUGCACAAACACUUUACUGGAGGUCUUUUGCCUUGAUUGCUAAGGUCAGAGGACAAACAUAGAAACUCAAAAUUAGGUUACUGUAAUUGUUCUCAUUCUCUCUCAUGCCUCUGAGAGCUCCUUGACAAGCCUACCUUUGAAUCUCCAACACCUCUCAUAGUUCUAGGCAUUGGAUGCUUGGUAAGCAUUUUUCAAAAUGAGAAAAGCCCUUUGUUGUUGUUGCUGCUGUUUGAUGGACUUAAGUAUUUGGAAUUUAGGGUAAAAACUGUCUAUAUCAGAAAAUAAAAAAUUGCUACUACAAGUAUAAAAUAAUAUAUAUAGUGCUAUAUCAUUUGUAAAGCACUUUUACAUAAACUAUUUUCUUUUAAAUCUCACAAAUUCCGUUUUUAUUUUUAUUUUCUAGUUUGAGCCAAACAAGGCUCAAAAUUUUUAAGGAACUUGGGGAAGGCCGCUUUUUUUCACAGCCAUUUCUCUGUAGAAAAUGAAUGAGCUUGCAUAUAACAUUUUACUAAGUGGAACUAAAUAUAUUUACUACAAAAUAAAAAGGGGAGACAUCAAACCUGUUGCACAAAACCUGUAGAAGUUCAUCUGAGAAUUUCUUAGAAUUGUAGAUUUCCUUAGGAAGAAUAUAUGUUAAAUCAUAUACACACACGUGUGUGUGCACAUGUAUAUAGACAUACAUAUGUACAUAUAUAUGUAUAUAUAUGAUUAUAUUUAACGUGUAUAAUCAAAAUUAUAUUUUUUCAAAAGUUGUGCUACCAAACAAAAAAGGUGUCAGUGGUCCAGAGGGCUGGACCAGGAAGUAGGUAGGGAGCUGGACAGAAGUAAUAUAUAUUGAGCACUCAAUUUCCAAAAUCUUGAAAAUUAGUAAAAUUCUUCUCUAAGAGUUAGAGAGAAAAUCAAGGCAUGCUGCAUCAAAACAGAGAUAGGCAGGUCCUUUAAAAGACACAAUAACAAAGACAAAAGAUGCAUGCAAUCUAAAGAGAACUUGGAGUAUACAUAAAUAUAUAAAAAUCAACUCAAACAUUUAAAAAAUUAACUCAAAAUGAAUUAAAGAUUUAAAUGUAAAACUCAAAGCUAUGAAACUACUAGAAGAAAAUACAGGGGAAAUGCUUCAUAAUAUUGACCUUGGUAUAAUUUUUAACAAUAAGAUCUCAAAGCACAGGCAACAGAACAAAAAUAGACAAAUGGAAUUACAUCUAACUAAAAAGCUUUUGCUCAGCAAAGAAAACAAUUAAUAGAAUGAAGAGACAACCUACAGAAUGGGAGAAAAUAUUGGCAAACUUUACAUCUGACAAGGGAUUAAUAUUCACUUGUAUAAGAAACUGGACAGCAAAUAUAUAUGUACUCGAGUUGAGAACCUCAACUCUCCCUCCCUGAGGAGUUUUGGACCGUGUUUUUUAAAAAAUCUUUGGCAGGUAUAGGGCUGAGAGGCAGGAGGUCACUGAUUAGGGCAUGGGAGAUACAAAAUUGGGAUACAUAUAUAUAUCCCAAUUAAAAAAUGGGCAAAAGAUCUUAAUAGACUUUUCACAGAAGAAGACAUACAAGUGGCCACCAGGUAUAUGAAAAAUACUUAACAUCACUAAUCAUCAGGGAAAGGCAAACCAAGACCACGAUGAGAUACCACCUCACUCCAGUUAGAAUUGCUAUUAUCAAGAAAAACAAGAGAAAACAAGUGUUGGCGAGUACGUGAAGAAAAGCAAGCACUUACACAAUGGUAAUGGGACUGUAAAAUUAGUACAAUCACUACAUAAAUGGUACAGAAUUUCCUCAAAAAAUUAAAGAUAGAACGACUGUAUGAUCCUGGGAUUCCACUACCGGAUAUGUAUCCAAAAGAAAUAAAAUCAGUGUGUCUAAGAGAUAUCUGCAUUCCUAUGUUUAUUGCACAACUAUUUACAAUAGUCAAGAUAUGAAAUCAACCUAAGUGUCCAACAACAGAUGAAUGGAUAAAGAAAAUGUUCACACACAGAAACACACACACCAUGUAAUACUAUUGAACCAUUAAAAAAAAAAAUGAAAUCUUGUCACUUGUGGCAGCAUGGAUGGACCUGGAGGGCAUCAUGUUUAGUGAAAUAAGCCAGACAUGGAAAUACAAAUACUGCAUGAUUUCACAUAUGUGGAAUCUAAAAUAAAAGUAACAUCAUAGAAGCAGCAAGUAGAAGAGUGUUUACCAGAGACUAGGGAGGGGUUAGUAGGGGUAGGGGAGGAUAGGGAGAGAUUGAUCGGUGGGUACAAAGUUACAAUUAGAUAGGAGAAAUAAGUUCUGGUGUCCAAUGCCCAGUAGGAUGGCUAUGGUUAAGAGUAAAGUAUUGUAUAUUGCAACAUAGCUAGAAGGUGUUAUAGGGCUGCCAUGUUCAAGGGCUCAUCGAGCAGUAACAAUUCAAUACGUCGAAACAGCGGGAGUUGCCGCAGAGAAAGAAUUUAAUAAUCACAGGGGCAUCCAAAUGAGGAGAUAGGAGAGAACCUCAACUCUGCCUCCUUGAGGAGAUUUGGACUGUGUUUUUUAAGAAAAGUUUGGCACGUAUGGGGCUGAGAAGCAGGAGGUCACUGAUUAGGGCAUGGGAGAUAAAAUCAUAAAUAUGUAGAAACUGCCUUGUUGCACUUAGUUCCUCGGAGAGUUCUUCAGACUGUCUGGUGUCAGUGGAUCCUUAGAAUGCAAGAUCUGGAAAACAUCUCUUAAUGGAGAAUCUGAGGUUUCUUAACAUUAAAGACGUUGUCUGUAGAAGCCAGGAGCUUGUGAUGCGGCUACGUGAAUUUUAAGUAGUAGGAAGCGAGAAAGAAGUAGGCUCUAGGGAAACCUGAUUAAUGCUUAGCCCUGCUUCUACUCAAAGCUUAUGCUUUUGGUAAGAAAACUGACAAUUUAGUUUUAUUAAUUUUAUGAGGACAGUUUUAGGGCUAGGCUUUUAAAUGUUCUCAUCACAAAGAAAUAUUAAAUACAUGAGGUGAUGUAUAAGCUAAUUACCCUGUUUCGAUCAUUAUACAACGUAGAUAUUUAUUGAAACACCAAAUUGUACUCCAUACUUAUGUACAAUGACAAUGUAUCGAUUUAACAAUUAAGAAAAUAAAGAUCAAGGAAUCAAAAAAAAAGAAAAAAAGAUAGGAUGAAAUCUCUGGAAAAGGUAAACUUACUUUGUCAGUGGUUUCCUGGGGCCAAGGGUGGGACUGAUAGGGGAGGAUUCUCUGAAUUAGGGUACAAAAUAAAUUUGGAAGAUGAUGGUAAUGACUGUGGUAAUAGUUACAAGAAUAUAUACAUUUAUCCAAAGCAUAGAAAUGUACACUUAAAUAAGUGCAUUUUAUUGCAUGUAAAAUAUACCAUAAAGAGAUAAUUAUAUAAAAAAAUCACAGAUGAAACAAGAGAAAGAUUUCCAGACCUCUGAAAUGUAACUUCAAAUGGACUGUGUAUAUUCACUUAUGUAAGUAAAGAAUGUUUUAAUUAAAAGGGAACAGAGAAUGAUGAUACUAGUCGGCCUUGGAAGUAUCUGAAAGAAGAAUCCCACAAGCUAAAAUGAAUAGUGCUGAUCCAAGCAUUGUUCAGGGCAAGAGAGUUCCAUCUGAUGAUUCAACAUGACCAGUUCUUUAGUCUGAUUCCCAGUUGAGUUAGAUGAAAGAUGCUGUCUUUGUUUGCUAACAUCCUACAAUCCUACGAUUAAUUCACGUGACUUCUCCUUGCUCUAUUCCCAACCACCAUGAAAAAUUCACAGACAGUGAACAUACACUGACUGUAGUCUUCAAGUGUGUGGUUCCUUUAGCAUUCAUACUUCUCAUUGUAAAUAAAUAUUUUAAGUCCAUACAUCUGGCUCCUAGGGCCAGAUGUGCUGAUGGAAUCAGACUUUUGAGCUUUUGAGACUGGAGGCAAAUGCUGGACUGUGUUAUUUAAACUUUAUUACUUUAUGCAUCUUAGUGGCACAGUUAUUGUAUAAUUUUUCUUUAAUCUGUGGCAUUUUAAAGCUGACCAUUUCUAACAACAAGGGCCUUGCUAACCACAGGGUCCCUUGUUUUGCCCAGCACCUUAUUGGAUUUCAAAAGGUAAAAAGAGUAAAUCUCACUCUUGGUGGUGAGAGAUAAGAGAACGAAAUCCCUGUAGAAAUCCAACUUGCAAGAUAAGUUUGAUGUUUCACGUGGAGGGUGUGCAGAGAACCCCUCUUCUGUCUUCCAUAUAAAAUUUUCUAUAAAACCAACAUUUCUUAAUAAUGCAUUUUCAUGUUAUUUUGGAAAAACUCUAAGAGGAGUUGAGUUUUCAUCGUGGGUUGAUGUGAGGCAAAAACCAAAAACAAUCAACAAUAAAACAAAACAAAACACCAGAAACAAUACAUCUGAACUCAAAGCCAGGAAGAGGACACGGCUGACAUUUAAAGCUAUAUUUGAGGAAACUCCUUUUGUGGUUGUUAUGUACCUCUAGGUAAAAAGAUCUGGAAAUUCUAGAUUCAUUUAAGUAAAAUUUUCCAACCUUAAACAGCCAAGGACGUUCUUCAGUUCCAUUAUUUUUCUUUCUUUUUUUGCUUGCAAGCAUGUAACUGGUUUCAGUAGGCAUUUAAGAAACAUGGCCAGUCUAGUUUUACAAACAGCACUAGCUGAACCAGCCACAUUUUUUACCUGCAGGCUGCCAGCUUUCCAAAAAGGGAAAAAUCCUUUCAUAUUUUACUUAUACAAAAGACUUAUUUGCCUUGCAGAAAGUCUCAGUCUCGGGUUCUCAUGUGUAGUCCUCCAAAUCAAGAGAACAGACAAGGCAUAUUCACGAAGAACACAUAGGAUUGCAUUUUUGCUCAUUGGACACACCUUGUACCUUUGCAUUUUCCUUUUUAAGUAAAUUCUAUAUUGCACUCAACUUCAUGCAAAUCACUAGCAGGAAGUAGGAACCUAAGAGCAAGUACAUUUCAAAUCAUGCCAGGAUUCAUGCAGGUUCAGGAUUGCCCUGUUUCACUAAAGGAUACUAGAAAGAAGAUGUGUCAUUUUCUUCCAGCAAAUUUAACCCAUCAGCCCUUCAGGAAGGUGUAAAGACCAGAGGUAGACCCUCUAAAUUCUGAACAAUUUCCCCCAGGUGAACACUGCAAUGGGACCACUGUUGAGGUACUCUCCUCCCAUCCUGCUCUAUUGUGAAACUAGCUGUUUAUUGCAAGUAGCAACAGGAUUUCUUUAAAAAAGGAUUUUGUUGCCCUUCUCCACUAAUUGCUUUUUUGGCAUUCUCCUGUCCACCUCUUUUUAUUAUCCUGCAAAAUGAUCAUAAACCUAUACGAUGUUUUAGACUACAAAUGCCAAAAGGCAGAGCAAUUUCAGUAAGCCCUGGUGAACCCAGAUGGCCCGAUAUGAAGAUCCCCUGGAAAUAGACUUUGUUAUAAAAGACUCCACAUGCAGACGUCAAAUGUGAACCAGGGAAAGAUAGAAAUGCAGAAAGUCUCGCUCCCCUGUCUUGGUAAAUCUGGGCCUCAUUUCAAUUAAAGCUGAAGUGAAGACUCCUCCUUGAAUGGUUCAAAUGCCUCGAAAUGGAAGGGAGAGGUGAGCUGUAGACUGAGGCAAAAGUACAUACUGUAUUUAUAAUCGAACACAGCUUUUUAUAUAAUUACAUCCUUGUGCACUUUUUAUUUUUGGUUCUUAAACAAAGUCACUCAGAUGAAAUUAAAGAGUGUGCAGGAGAAGGUGCUUCUCUGCUUCUUCCAGUUUCUAUGGCAACUCGGGGGCAUCUUAUUCAGCUGCCUCAUUGACUGAGUGUGCCCAAGUGAUGCUGGCUGCCACUUCAGCUCCUCCCUGGAAAAGGCAGGGAGGAGUGCUUUGUUGACCUUAUGGCCACCAAAAGAACUCAUGAUAGGACUGAAGAAAACCUCUGACAUGUUCAUUCAACUUUCCCUCAUUUUGUCAUAUAUGGUUGCCAUCUGACAGUGCUUUUGCCGAGAGUGUUUUGUUAGAAAUGUGUGUAUACUUGCCUUUGAAAUUUCUCUCUUGGUAAAUAAUCUGUUUUUAUGAGAAAGUUCCUAAUGUAAAGGAACCUCCUAUAUACUAUUCGACGAGACACUCUGUUUGCAGGACCAAAUGAAGAGCUGCUUAACUGGGACUUUAGAUGUAAAACUGUAUUAGCAAAAAUGUAAAAAAACAAAAUCCAAGUAAAAUGACAAAGGCUGAGACUUGAUUCAUUUGUUUGUUGUACUAGAUUGAAUGUUUGCCAAGGGAUGUCUUUCUGUCCAUGUGUCAGGACUGGGGAAAUGCUGAGGCGAAGAUGAUUCACAGAACUAAUCGCAGCAGAAUACGGGGUCAGAGCAGUCAUUUAGCAGGAGGGAGGGAAAGAACAGGGUUCACCGGAGCAAAGUCCUUACAAAACCAACUUAAACUGUAAGAAGAAACACUUUCAAAUUUUAGGUUAAACAUUGCAUUAGGUAACCAUGCUUUAUUAUUGUAACUUUAUUAAGAGUCACUUGUGAGCACUACUAAUUACAGCAACAACAAACAGAGUGGCAGGCAAAUGAUAGAGAAUUACAAAUGUGUGGGAAGAAGGAAGAAAAGAGGAGAGAAGGGAAGCGGAAGGUAGGAAGAGAAGGAGGGAAGGAAGGAGGAAAGAAGAAGCAAGGGAAGAGAAAAAAAGGAAGGAAGGAAG
Molecule: long non-coding RNA, 14100 nt
Filed under: Homo sapiens (human)
Lineage: Eukaryota; Metazoa; Chordata; Mammalia; Primates; Hominidae
Description: long non-coding RNA NONHSAT176510.1
Source: RNAcentral